ACAGUCCGGAUCCGUUCCCUCCUCAGACACGAUCGGACGAUCGCAAUUAAACACGAUGAACGGUCAGAUUCGUUCUCUCUUUAAACGCGAUCGUACGGUUCAGAUCAAAUCUCAAUGAACGGUCUAGAUUUAUUUCUAUUUAAACGCGAUCGGACGAUCAAGAUCAAAUAUAAUAAAUGGUCCAGAUUAAAGGGAGACGAGUAUAAAUAUCUCACU
Molecule: long non-coding RNA, 216 nt
Filed under: Carica papaya (papaya)
Lineage: Eukaryota; Viridiplantae; Streptophyta; Magnoliopsida; Brassicales; Caricaceae
Description: long non-coding RNA (CPAP_LNC002284)
Source: RNAcentral